Molecule: non-coding RNA, 506 nt
Organism: Gasterosteus aculeatus aculeatus (three-spined stickleback)
Lineage: Eukaryota; Metazoa; Chordata; Actinopteri; Perciformes; Gasterosteidae
Source: RefSeq, a predicted model, not a curated record
UUGAGGCAGGAGGCCGCCAAGCUGAGGCCGCAAACCGACACGGAGGAGCUCCCGUCCUGCACCUCGCACAGCCGGGUCACGCGCUUGUUCUCACCUGCGGCGGAGACAAAAGAGGAUGAGCGAACAAAGCGUCCGCGUCCGCCUCUGUGGGCAAUCGUGGUCACUUGCUCACCCACUGCCAGGCUGUCGCACGCUUUCUUAUAGCGCUCCGGGAGAGGAGGCAGAUCCCAGGAGGAAACCUCCGCCAGAACCUACAGCAGCACAACACAGCUUUAGAAAGAGUGAAAGCAACAUUAGAAAAAAGAUACUGGACCUGCUUGAGGUUCCCGUCUAUACAAGCUCGGUGCAGAGUUGUCUCGCCCUUCUCGUUCCUCUUGUUCCACUGGAGUAGAAAACAGAUACAAAAAGGAGCAGAAGAUGUCCUCGAGCGCAGAAUUCCAGUUCUACCUGAGUCUGAGAGGACGACGUCGCUGUCAUCCAGAGGUUCACUGUUGUCCAUCUCCUCC